Molecule: long non-coding RNA, 582 nt
Filed under: Monodelphis domestica (gray short-tailed opossum)
Lineage: Eukaryota; Metazoa; Chordata; Mammalia; Didelphimorphia; Didelphidae
Description: lncRNA (ENSMODG00000042438.1)
Source: RNAcentral
UAAGACUGUCCUUUAGAAGCUUUACAUUUCCUUCGUUGUCCACUAAUGACUUGGCUUUUGCAACUUGUGGUUUACUUUGUAGCAAGAUUAUAGACCCCUAAUGAUGAUGAAGUAUAUGAUUGGGAACUUUGAUGUGUGGAAUGGCCCACAUGAAGCUGUUGAUGAAAAUGGCCUUGAUGAAGAGAGGAGUUGUGGAAUUGUUCAUGAUCUCAGACAAUAAGGAUGACUGGAGCAAAGGCAAAAUGGAAGGUUGUGUCUGAUUCUUCAUGACCCUAUUUGGAGGUUUUCUGGAUUGGUUUGCCAUUUCCUUCUCCAUCUCACUUUACAGAUGAAGAACUUAAGCAAAGAAGGUUAAGUUACUUGCCCAGGGUCACACAGUUAGUAUGUGUUUGAGGCUAAUUUUUAAAGUCAGGAAGAUAAGUCUCCCUGAUUCUUAGACCUGAUACUUUACCCACUAUUACCAUCUGGCUGCCCCAUCUCAAAUUACUUAAUGGUUUUGUGUGUAUGUCUUUAAAGUACUCAGAUUUGCCAUUUUAAUGGAAAAAUAGCAUUCCAUUCCAUUAACAUAUCAUUUUGUUUAAC